This is a non-coding RNA of Perkinsus marinus ATCC 50983, 82 nucleotides long. The record is from Rfam. Lineage: Eukaryota; Perkinsozoa; Perkinsida; Perkinsidae.
GACAGCGUGUCCGAGUGGUUAAGGAGAUGGACUUGAAAUCCAUUUGGCUCUGCCUGCGCAGGUUCGAAUCCUGCCGUUGUCG